AGGACUAACGCUGGCGGCGUGCCUAACACAUGCAAGUCGAACGAGGUAGCAAUACCUAGUGGCAGACGGGUGAGUAACACGUAGUCAACCUUCCCGAUAGUGGGGGAUAACUAGCCGAAAGGUUAGCUAAUACCGCAUACGAUCUUCGAGUGGCAUCAUUUGAAGAUGAAAGGAGCAAUCCGCUUUCGGACGGGACUGCGUCCCAUUAGCUAGAUGGUGGGGUAAUGGCCUACCAUGGCAACGAUGGGUAGCUGGUUUGAGAGAGCGACCAGCCACACUGGGACUGAGAAACGGCCCAGACUCCUACGGGAGGCAGCAGUGAGGAAUUUUCCGCAAUGGGCGAAAGCCUGACGGAGCGACGCCGCGUGUGGGAAGAAGGCCUUCGGGUCGUAAACCACUGUCGAAGGGAAAUACUGAUGGUACCUUGGAGGAAGCCCGGCUAACUACGCGCCAGCAGCCGC
Molecule: ribosomal RNA, 461 nt
Filed under: uncultured bacterium
Lineage: Bacteria
Description: SSU rRNA
Rfam family: Bacterial small subunit ribosomal RNA
Source: RNAcentral